AGGUGUCCCUCCACUCAAAACAGAGCAAUACAGGCAAGACGCUUCAGCCGAUCGCCCCGGCGAACCGCUCAACCACUCCGGUCCACGUGGGGCUGGACCCGCCAGAGAGGGCUCAUCUGAGGUCACUCAAAGUUGGCGCUGGAGGCGGCCGCACCUGAACCCAGGUCUGCCUCCCGGCUGGCUGCUCCUCCCACUACCCACACCGUGCAACGUCGGAAACUUAAGGCACACAGAUCCCAUGUAAGGAGUUAACCGUUGCAGGUCCCAAGCAAGCCAGCGGCCACGCCACUGGCGCCGGGAGUAAGGACACCAGGAGUGGCGCGGGUCACCCGUGAGCGCAACGUGGAGGGCGGCGCGGAAGAAGCCGAGGAGCAGCUCCCGGAGGCGCAGGCCUGGGGUGUGGGGACCCAGGUCCUCCCCAAAACUUUGCGGCGGCGCGGGGGGCCUCGCCCUUACCUGCAGAAGAGGCGCCGCCCGCGCGCACGCGGAGCCGGCCGGAGCACUGGCAGGGGCGCCCCGCCCAGCGGCGGCCACGAAGAAGAAACAUGAGUCAUCACAUUGUCAGAUGUCACUCUCAGUGAAUGUGGAGGAGCAACUGAGGAACAGUGACCUGGGAAGACGGCUCCGUCAGGAAGAGCUUACCUUGGAAGCGUAAGAACCUGAAUCCAACCCCCUAGAGCCCAGCUAAAUAAAUUUUGGGUCUAAUGAUGCCAAAACUAAUGCCAACAUCAUCAAGUCAUUCAACUAGUAAGUAGAUGAGCCCCUCCUUCUCGCCUAUGAAGGACACUAGGAAACCGAUCCCGUGAGCCACCUGAAGAGGGGGAAGAGGUACAUCUUCCAGGCAGAGAACGAACAGCCUAUUGGGGCUCUGAAGACAGGAAGAAACCUCAGCUGUGUGAUAUGUGUUUUCAAUGUGCAAUUAAUUAUCACAAAACCACAACAAACAGUCGUUAUGGUGUCUAGCUUGCAGAUGAAGAGCCUCAGCAAGGUUGAGCAGUUUAAGAUCACCCAGCCAGUAGGCAAUGGAGGUCACAAUUUAAAUUUGGCUCUCACAUGGCACCCUGUGAUAUAAACAAGCUAGAAAGGCCUUGGCACAUAUUCCCACAGAAUUGCCAUUGUCAUAUUAGCUGCCCUAUACUGACCCAGAAAGUAAGGCCUUAAGGAAGGGGCUAGAGAUGACUCAGUGGUUAGGAGCACAGACUGCUCUUCCAGAAGACCAGAGGUCCAUUCCCAGCACCCAUGUCCCAGGGCUCACAGGCAUCUCUAACUCUAGCUCCAGGGGGCUCUGACACCCUUUUCUGAUCCCCACUGGCACCAGCAUGCAGGUGCACAUACCCACACACAGACUGACAUGUGAAUCACACAAAAACCAGUCAAUCCAUCCAUCCAUCCAUCAAUCCAUCCAUCAAUCCAUCCAUCCAUCACUCCAUCCAUCCUAGGGAGAAAGAAAGGAAGAAAGAAAGAAAAAAAGAAAGGAAGGAAGGAAGGAAGGAAGGAAGGAAGGAAGGAAGGAAGGAAGGAAGGAAACCUCCAGAGAAAAGGAGCUGUCCUGCACCCUGGUAUGUCUGCCCAGCCUGCCCAACCCUGAGUAUCUCCACUAUGAAACAGAACAAUGCCACAGCCGGAAUUUCCCCAGCUUUGGUGGGAGGAGACAAGUACAAACCUGAAUGGAAAAAAAUAGGGGUGCAGGCUGGUGCUCCUUCUUAACCCUAAGCUCUGAGAGCUGGGCCCAGCGAGUCCCAGGCACAGACACCAUUUUCUCAAUGUUCUAUCCUAUCUUCUGUAUAGGGCAGAAGAAAGGAGGAUGACCUAGAUUUUCUUAAAAAACAAGGCUUUGUUCAUGUUUUGCUACGAUGUACUUUGACACUGUGCUUCAGCCUGUUCUUUGAAUCAGAGGAAUGUUCUGGAAAUGAUCUGGGUUGCUGGGUCAGACAUGGCUUGAAUCUUAACUUGAGCCCUUUCUAGCACUGUGUCCUUGGAUAGAUGUGUGCUCUGUUAUUUUCAUCUUCACAGAUAAUGCUGACCUGGAGGGCAUUGUGAGGACUCAGGGGGGCGAGGCACAAACCCUGUGUGAGAUCUGAAGUCUCUCAGGCUUUCAUUAAAUGACAGCUAUUAUUUUGCUUGUUUGCCUUGCAUAGUCUGUAAUGCUUGGAUCUUUCCUUUUCCCUUCUUUCACUCUUUUUUUAUGCAGACUCGCCAGCAUUAACAGAAAUAAUACUGGCUGGGCAUGGUGGCACAUGCCUUUAAUCCCAGCAUUCAGGGAGGCAGAGGCAGUCCAGUAUCUGUGAGAUCGAGGCCAGCCUGGUCUACAAAGCGAGUCCAUGACAUCCAAGACUACAAAGAGAAACACUGUCUCGAAAAAAACAAAGCAAAACAAAAGAGAUAUAUUUUUUUUUUGCAAAUUAGUACUAAUGACUCCAUAAUAGAACUGUUGGUUUAUGAAAGAGCACACCCUUACCAAUGACAGUGAAGACAUGUUUUUAAAAUGUCAAUCAAUAUUACACAUGCUGAUUACAAACAAAUGGCAGGUGUUCACAAAGUUGACAAAAUAACUUAUGCUCUGAAAUGCUCAGUUUCACUAAAACCAUUUUUUUCCUUCAAAGAAUAAUAAAUGUUGA
Meriones unguiculatus (Mongolian gerbil) is the source of this 2618-nucleotide long non-coding RNA. RefSeq lists it as uncharacterized. The transcript is spliced from 3 exons. NCBI's taxonomy places the organism in Eukaryota, Metazoa, Chordata, Mammalia, Rodentia, Muridae. The record is from RefSeq and is a predicted model, not a curated record.